RNAcentral lists this ribosomal RNA (470 nucleotides) under uncultured bacterium. Its description in RNAcentral is "partial 16S ribosomal RNA". It matches the Rfam family "Bacterial small subunit ribosomal RNA", at positions 28 to 507 of the family's 1533-position model. The record is from RNAcentral.
GACGAACGCUGGCGGCGUGCUUAACACAUGCAAGUCGAACGCUGAAGCUUGGUGCUUGCACUGGGUGGAUGAGUGGCGAACGGGUGAGUAAUACGUGAGUAACCUGCCCUUGACUCUGGGAUAAGCCUGGGAAACUGGGUCUAAUACUGGAUACGAAACUGGCCCGCAUGGGCAUGGUUUGGAAAGUUUUUCGGUUUGGGAUGGGCUCGCGGCCUAUCAGCUUGUUGGUGAGGUAAUGGCUCACCAAGGCGACGACGGGUAGCCGGCCUGAGAGGGCGACCGGCCACACUGGGACUGAGACACGGCCCAGACUCCUACGGGAGGCAGCAGUGGGGAAUAUUGCACAAUGGGCGAAAGCCUGAUGCAGCGACGCCGCGUGAGGGAUGACGGCCUUCGGGUUGUAAACCUCUUUCAGCAGGGAAGAAGCGAAAGUGACGGUACCUGCAGAAGAAGCACCGGCUAACUACGUG